GGACUACCCGGGUUUCUAAUCCCGUUCGCUCCCCUAGCUUUCGCGCCUCAGCGUCAGAAGAGGUCCAGCACGUCGCUUUCGCCACCGGCGUUCCUUCCGAUAUCAACGCAUUUCACCGCUCCACCGGAAGUUCCACAUGCCCCUACCUCCCUCCAGACCGCCAGUAUCCAAGGCACUUUUCCGGUUGAGCCGAAAGAUUUCACCCCGGACUUGGCCGCCCGCCUACGCGCCCUUUAAGCCCAGUGAUUCCGAACAACGUUCGCACGGUUCGUCUUACCGCGGCGGCUGGCAC
Molecule: ribosomal RNA, 292 nt
Filed under: uncultured Planctomycetota bacterium
Lineage: Bacteria; Pseudomonadati; Planctomycetota
Description: uncultured planctomycete partial 16S ribosomal RNA
Source: RNAcentral